UACGUAGGGGGCAAGCGUUGUCCGGAUUUACUGGGCGUAAAGGGCGUGCAGGCGGUCUGUUAAGUUCAGGGUGAAAGCUCCCGGCUCAACUGGGAGAGGUCCUUGGAUACUGGCAGACUUGAGGAGGGUAGAGGAGAGUGGAAUUCCCGGUGUAGUGGUGAUAUGCGUAGAUAUCGGGAGGAACACCAGUGGCGAAGGCGGCUCUCUGGGCCCUACCUGACGCUGAGACGCGAAAGCGUGGGGAGCAAACAGG
This 253-nucleotide ribosomal RNA is filed under the name uncultured bacterium. RNAcentral describes it as "partial 16S ribosomal RNA". It matches the Rfam family "Bacterial small subunit ribosomal RNA", at positions 524 to 776 of the family's 1533-position model. The record is from RNAcentral.